UACGUAGGGGGCAAGCGUUGUCCGGAAUCAUUGGGCGUAAAGAGCGUGUAGGCGGCCAGAAAAGUCCGCUGUGAAAACUCGAGGCUCAACUUCGAGCUGUCGGUGGAAACUUUCUGGCUAGAGUCCGGAAGAGGAGAAUGGAAUUCCUGGUGUAGCGGUGAAAUGCGCAGAUAUCAGGAGGAACACCGGUGGCGAAGGCGGUUCUCUGGGCAUUACCUGACGCUGAGGAGCGAAAGUGUGGGGAGGCGAACAGG
This 254-nucleotide ribosomal RNA is filed under the name uncultured bacterium. RNAcentral describes it as "partial 16S ribosomal RNA". It matches the Rfam family "Bacterial small subunit ribosomal RNA", at positions 524 to 776 of the family's 1533-position model. The record is from RNAcentral.